Molecule: ribosomal RNA, 424 nt
Filed under: uncultured bacterium
Lineage: Bacteria
Description: bacterial SSU rRNA
Rfam family: Bacterial small subunit ribosomal RNA
Source: RNAcentral
UGGGGAAUAUUGCACAAUGGGCGAAAGCCUGAUGCAGCAACGCCGCGUGAGUGAUGACGGCCUUCGGGUUGUAAAGCUCUGUCUUCGGGGACGAUAAUGACGGUACCCGAGGAGGAAGCCACGGCUAACUACGUGCCAGCAGCCGCGGUAAUACGUAGGUGGCAAGCGUUGUCCGGAUUUACUGGGCGUAAAGGGAGCGUAGGCGGAUUUUUAAGUGGGAUGUGAAAUACCCGGGCUCAACCUGGGUGCUGCAUUCCAAACUGGAAGUCUAGAGUGCAGGAGGGGAAAGUGGAAUUCAUAGUGUAGCGGUGAAAUGCGUAGAGAUUAUGAAGAACACCAGUGGCGAAGGCGACUUUCUGGACUGUAACUGACGCUGAGGCUCGAAAGCGUGGGGAGCAAACAGGAUUAGAUACCCCCGUAGUCC